GAUGAACGCUGGCGGCGUGCCUAAUACAUGCAAGUCGAGCGAACAGACGAGGAGCUUGCUCCUCUGACGUUAGCGGCGGACGGGUGAGUAACACGUGGAUAACCUACCUAUAAGACUGGGAUAACUUCGGGAAACCGGAGCUAAUACCGGAGAAUAUAUUGAACCGCAUGGUUCAAUAGUGAAAGACGGUUUUGCUGUCACGUAUAGAUGGAUCCGCGCCGCAUUAGCUAGUUGGUAAGGUAACGGCUUACCAAGGCAACGAUGCGUAGCCGACCUGAGAGGGUGAUCGGCCACCCUGGAACUGAGACACGGUCCAUACUCCUACGGGAGGCAGCAGUAGGGAAUCUUCCGCAAUGGGCGAAAGCCUGACGGAGCAACGCCGCGUGAGUGAUGAAGGUCUUCGGAGCGUAAAACUCUGUUAUUAGGGAAGAACAAAUGUGUAAGUAACUAUGCACGUCUUGACGGUACCUAAUCAGAAAGCCCCGGCUAACUACGUG
Molecule: ribosomal RNA, 497 nt
Filed under: uncultured bacterium
Lineage: Bacteria
Description: partial 16S ribosomal RNA
Rfam family: Bacterial small subunit ribosomal RNA
Source: RNAcentral